This 1672-nucleotide long non-coding RNA is filed under the name Homo sapiens (human). Its description in RNAcentral is "non-protein coding lnc-TCEA1-2:1". Lineage: Eukaryota; Metazoa; Chordata; Mammalia; Primates; Hominidae. The record is from RNAcentral.
GCCGCCCUGGCUUCCUUCUACCUGUGCGGCCCUCAACGUCUCCUUGGUGCGGGACCCGCUUCACUUUCGGCUCCCGGAGUCUCCCUCCACUGCUCAGACCUCUGGACCUGACAGGAGACGCCUACUUGGCUCUGACGCGGCGCCCCAGCCCGGCUGUGUCCCCGGCGCCCCGGACCACCCUCCCUGCCGGCUUUGGGUGCGUUGUGGGGUCCCGAGGAUUCGCGAGAUUUGUUGAAAGACAUUCAAGAUUACGAAGUUUAGAUGACCAAAAUGGAUAUCCGAGGUGCUGUGGAUGCUGCUGUCCCCACCAAUAUUAUUGCUGCCAAGGCUGCAGAAGUUCGUGCAAACAAAGUCAACUGGCAAUCCUAUCUUCAGGGACAGAUGAUUUCUGCUGAAGAUUGUGAGUUUAUUCAGAGGUUUGAAAUGAAACGAAGCCCUGAAGAGAAGCAAGAGAUGCUUCAAACUGAAGGCAGCCAGGUGAUGAAUAAACAUUAUAUAAUGAACACUUCCCCGUGUCAUCCAAAAGUUUAGAAAAAUCUUAGUGAUUAUAAGUGACUUCCAGUUUUCUUGCUAAUUUGGAAAGAACGUUAUAUUGAGCAUGUUUACCUUCAUCCUUUUCUGUAUUUCUGAAUAUUUUCUUAGAAUAUACACCUGGAAGACAAAUUUCUGGAAAAGAAGUUACUGUUUCAGAGUAUGUUAAGUUUUAAAAGUUGCUUAACUUUUCUUUUUUUAAGAGAAUUUUUUCCACUUGGUAUUCUUACUAGUAAUGUUUGAAAUACCUAAUAUAAUUGAAAAUGUUUGAAUUUGCUAAGUUAAAAGGGAUAUCACUUUGAUGACAUGGGAUUACAUUAUUUUCCUGUUGAUUUAUUAAGUAUUUAUAUGUCCUUUGAAAUUUUUUUGGCGGUGGCAUUCUUUUUAUUUUAAUAUAUAAGGUUUUGUUACUUUUUGAUAAACAGUCUUUUUACAUACAAAAUUUAUUACUGUUUGCCAUAUUUAUAGCAAACAUAGUUUCCUUUUUUACUAUUUAUCUUUGAAGGGUUGUGGAGUUUUUUCAUAUACAGUGGUUUAAAAUGUUUAGUUACAUAUAUUGAUGUUUUACAUUCUUUCAUGGUAAGUUUAUUGUAGAAAAAUAAAAUACUAUUAAGCAAAAGAAAAAAGUUAUUCUACCUAAUAUUUCUCUGUUCAAGGUGACUUGUUUACACUUAGCGUAUACCUCUCUAGAUAUUUUUCUGUGCAUAAAAUAACUUAUACACUUAUUUCUACAAAUGUGAACUUUUUACAAAAAGGGGUGAUAUGUACAUAUCUUUGUUCUUUUCAUUUAACUGUAUAUUCUUCCCUUCCCUACUAUGCCUGUAAAGAUAUUUCUGUGGUAUUUAAAAUAAUUAAUUUAUUAUUAUUUCCCAUUUAUGGAAAGUUCCGUUGUGUAAUUUUCCAUUUAAUGGAUGAACCAUAAUGAUCUAAACUAAUUCUAUACUGUUGCAUAUUUUGGCUACUUCCUUUUUUUUCUGUUUUGAGGCGAACAGUUAGUAAUCUCAUAAUUAAUUCGAGAAGUGCAAUUAUCUGGCUGGGUGCAGUGGCUCACACUUGUAAUCCCAGUACUUUGGGAGACUGAGGCGGGCAGAUCACUUGAGGUCAGGAGUUCGAGACCAGCCUGGCCAACAUGGUAAAACUU